This is a long non-coding RNA of Astyanax mexicanus (Mexican tetra), 1374 nucleotides long. RefSeq lists it as uncharacterized. NCBI's taxonomy places the organism in Eukaryota, Metazoa, Chordata, Actinopteri, Characiformes, Acestrorhamphidae. The transcript has 3 exons. The record is from RefSeq and is a predicted model, not a curated record.
AUUGCUAGGCAGUUGCUAACAUAUUCCACAUGGUUGCUAAGUGGUUGCUAGGUGGUUGCUAAGCAGUUGCUAACGUUUUCCAAGUGGUGGCUAAAGUGUAGCUAACUGGUUGCUAGGAAGUUGCUAACGUUUUCCAAGUGGUUGCUAGGCAGUUGCUAAGUGGUUGCUAGGCAGUUGCUAACAUUUUCCAGGUGGUUGCUAAGUGGUUGCUAGGUAGUUGCUAACAUAUUCCAGGUGGUGGCUAGGCAGCUGCUAAGUGGUUGCUAGGCAGUUGCUAACGUUUUCCAGGUGGUUGCUAAGUGGUUGCUAGGCAGUUGCUAUAAUUUCUAAAGUGGUUGCUAAGUGGUUGCUAGGCAGUUGCUAACGUUUUCCUAGUGGUUGCUAUGGUAUUGUUAAGUGGUUGCUAGGCAGUUGCUAUCAUUUCUAAAGUGGUUCCUAAGUGGUUGCUAUGCAGUUGCUAACGUUUUAAUAGUGGUUGCUAAGGUGUUGCUAGGCAGUUGCUAUUAUUUCUAAAGUGGUUGCUAGGCAGUUGCUAUCGUUUUCCUAGUGGUUGUUAAGGUGUUGCUAAGUGGUUGCUAGGCAGUUGCUAUCAUUUCUAAAGUGCUUGCUAGGCAGUUGCUAACGUUUUUCCAAUGGUUGUUAAGGUGUUGCUAAGUGGUUGCUAGGCAGUUGCUUUCGUUUCUAAAGUGGUUGCUAAGUGGUUGCUAGGCAGUUGCUAACGUUUUCCAGGUGGUUGCUAAGUGGUUGCUAGGCAGUUGCUAACAUUUUCCAGGUGGUUGCUAGGCAGUUGCUAAGUGGUUGCUAGGCAGUUGCUAACGUUUUCCAAGUGGUUGCUAGGCAGUUGCUAAGUGGUUGCUAGGCAGUUGCUAACAUUUUCCAGGUGGUUGCUAAGUGGUUGCUAGGUAGUUGCUAACAUAUUCCAGGUGGUUGCUAGGCAGCUGCUAAGUGGUUGCUAGGCAGUUGCUUACGUUUUCCAGGUGGUUGCUAAGUGGUUGCUAGGCAGUUGCUAACGUUUUCCAGGUGGUUGCUAGGCAGUUGCUAAGUGGUUGCUAGGCAGUUGCUAACGUUUUCCAAGUGGUUGCUAGGCAGUUGCUAAGUGGUUGCUAGGCAGUUGCUAACGUUUUCCAGGUGGUUGCUAAGUGGUUGCUAGGCAGUUGCUAACGUUUUCCAGGUGGUUGCUAGGCAGUUGCUAAGUGGUUGCUAGGCAGUUGCUAACGUUUUCCAAGUGGUUGCUAGGCAGUUGCUAAGUGGUUGCUAGGCAGUUGCUAACGUUUUCCAGGUGGUUGCUAAGUGGUUGCUAGGCAGUUGCUAACGUUUUCCAGGUGGUUGCUAAGCAGUUAAUAGGUGGUUGCAAAGCCCUGGCUGGGGUGCCGG